GCUGUGCUGCGACUUCACUGCUGCUGCUCACUGUGACUUCACUGCUGCUCCUUUCUUGGAGGCCUGGUCAUGCAGGGUAUGAAGAGUGAGGUUUCCUGCAGUAAUCUGACCCCAAACCACCAUGAUUUUGAAAAAUCCAGAAAGUACAAGUGAUACUGGGCAAUAGUACAACAAAAAUCAUAUUGUGGGGAAUUGUGCAGGUACCUACAGAAAAGAAGGAAUGGAAAGCUUGGGUAGAUGCAGUGAGAAGAAAAAAGGCAUGAAGUGAUAAAUCUGUUGUUUGCGUGUCAAGACUAUUUCAACGGAACAACUGUGGAGAAGUUUCAUAGGAGUGGAGAUGUGGGGAGUGAACACCUCACGUUGUCAGCAAAUUUAGAAGAAAAAAAGCAGAGUAAAGCCAGACAGCAGAAUAAGUUGCAAAGUAUCUCUGCCCCAAUGAAGGCCAGAAAAAUGAUGUCAUAAUCGCAUCAGCCAGUGAGAUGUAUGUGACGAAGAGAUGUACACAUGGACUACUGCAAACAAGUAGAAGCAGCUACAUGUAAACAUAUUUCGGACUUGUAAAACCAAUUGUUCCAUUUUCAACUAUAAAUACAAGAGGUGGAGCGUUAUAUACACAACUUCAUGCUUGCAAAGUUAGAUUCAUCACUGCAGAGACAAAAAAAGAAACACAUUGGCAAGAACUGAGUUUGCCAUUUUUCGUGGGCAGCUGCUGUUGGAGGAAACUGAAAGCCCCGCGUGGCUCACUGAACUAGUUCCAUGGAUUUUUUUGGAUCCUGGCCAUUGAACUGAACAGGGCAGUCCUUGCAUUUGCAAGAAUUUCUUUGUGUGUAUCGGAGAUCUGCAUUUGAAACACUGCAUGUGCAAUGGAAACAUAUGUGAAGAACUGCAGCCACAGUUGCAUGUGGGUAUCAAAGUUCCCGCAUUUGGAAAGAGUAGCUGAUCAUGAAGCAUGGGUGCAACUCAAUGGAAAGUAGGCACAUUACAGUUGUGGCAACAAUAUUAAUACUUUAAUUGUGUGCUUAACCAUCGAUUUUCAGCAGGAGUUAAAUGUGCCUAACUUUCUCCAGAUUUGCUCAAAUGUUUUUAGUUUAGCUUUCGUCUACUCAGUAGACGCUUACAAAGUAUAAAUACAGCACACAUUUAAUUGAAGUCAAUGGACCUAUAUUGAUUUACACAAGCUGUCAAUCUAGCCCAGUGUCUCCUACCUUGUCGCUAUUCCAAUGUCUCUUGUCAGUAACUAUUGUAUAAACAAACACAGACUGUCAGGAGUCUUGGAGGGGAAAGCUUUUCCUCUCCCAUUAUGGAAAUGCUGACCUUUUGGGAUCUGGGUGGAAGCUUUGUUUCACAUUCUGACAGAUGACUUUGUCUAGCAAAGAUCUGUGACAUGGCUUUUGGCACACAGAAGGAAGAAAAGUCAAGCUUAAUGGGACAAAUUAUAGGACUGGGACAGAAGAGCUGACUAGGCUAAGUAAUCAAACAACAGUUAAUAGCAUCGAGGUCACCUUUUCUCCCUUUUCUCCUACAUCACCCUUUUCUCCGCGAGGACCAGGGAAACCCUAUAAAAAAUGAACAAAAAUACCUCUAUUGGCUUCUACAUACCCAUUUGUGGGUUUGUUUUUAUUUUACAGCCGAGUUAUAUGCACACACACACACACACCAAGAAUACUGCAUGAUUUGGAAAUAAGAGAAGGCCAUAAUAUUCAGCAAGAUAGACUUAUGUCAGCCAUCCAGAUAGAUUAAAAGUAACCCUAUUUUCCUACAUGCAAAUGGGAACUGGCAAUCACCAAAGCAAAGUGUUUCCGUAAGGAGUCUUUGGUGCUGAUCACAUAGGAGAAAAUAUUACAAUAAUUUGUCCCACUGCAAAUGCAGUUGCAUAACAUGGAAUGUUCACUUACAAGUUCACCUAAUAAGGAAAACACUACACUGACAUUAGUGCUUGUAGCAACCUGGCAUCACAACUGUGUGGAGGCUGCUCCACAUGGCAAUGUGUUUGUGUGAAACAGCUUUUUAUCAGAUUUCAACUUCUUUUACCAAGAAGUUGCAAUCUCUUUUCUGUGGCUUGUUACCACCAGAAUCUUAGCACGUCACACAAAUAAAAUGUCAUGGCAUGCACACUUCUUGUGGUUGUGUUUCCAAGCACCAUUGACUACAUGUAUAGCUAAAAGCACUUCCCAUGGCCAUUUAUCAGGUGCUCUAGUUAGCAUCAGUUUUUGCAGGUGCUUAUUAGUGUCACUAUUUAUUAUGGGAUUUACAAGAUAGCCCUUUCUUAGCAGUGUUCUCCUCACUAUUAUAAGUAUUCUUAUUUCUUUUUAUCAUUAUUUAAAUAAUGAAAGGCAAACAGCAAUGCAGUGUUUAGUAUAUUCUCUGCAUGAUCAUCAUGCACACCAAAUGGGGGGAGGGAUCAACAUGCUCCAAGCAUGCAAUCUUUACUUGAGAAACAAGCAAACACACCUUUACCUACCACACAAACAAACUAGGCAUAAACAUUACUUACAUCAAGGCCAGGUUCGCCAUCUUUGCCCUAAUAAAGAACCAUAUCAAUUAUGUUAAGCUCAGGUUGUUCUUGUUCAAGCCAUGACUGUUCAGAUGUGCAGGAACUGUGCAGUGCAUUAUCUUGCACACAAACCCCUGGAUUUAUUUAAUUUUUUAAUGUAGAUGCUUUCUGCAUGGAGGUCAUGCAGGACAUCACACUUGAUACACAAAAUGAAAUGAAGCAAAUGCUUUAUAGAGGGAUGAUGGUUGGCUGAGCAUCUGGAGAACUGGUGUGAGCUGUGUGCCAGAAAGUUCCCAGCUGAAUCUCCUCUCACGGCAAUGAACUCAUGUCCAUGCAAUCCCAGCUAAUGAGCCUGUA
Molecule: long non-coding RNA, 2851 nt
Organism: Hemicordylus capensis (graceful crag lizard)
Lineage: Eukaryota; Metazoa; Chordata; Lepidosauria; Squamata; Cordylidae
Exons: 5
Source: RefSeq, a predicted model, not a curated record